CAGGCCUCCCUCUGCUUGGUUCCAGUCGUGGGCAUGAGUGAGGGGCGAUGCUUGAUGGCUUUGAUGCCAUCGGUGGGAAUGUGUUUAAGCAUCGGCCUUCCCUCAUGACCACGAUGGUCUACAGUCUUGUGUACGAGUUAGUGACGUCGCUUGUUUGUUUUGAUGCUUGCGUUGGAACUUGCUUAAGCAACCGAUCUGACGAAGUACCCAUGAAUGUCACCCAUGAUGGUCUACAGUCUUGCGUACGAGUUAGUGACGUCGCUUGUUUGUUUUGAUGCUUGCGUUGGAACUUGCUUAAGCAACCGACCUGACGAAGUACCCAUGAAUGUCACCAAUGAUGGUCUACAGUCUUGCGUACGAGUUAGUGACGUCGCUUGUUUGUUUUGAUGCUUGCGUUGGAACUUGCUUAAGCAACCGAACUGACGAAGUACCUAUGAAUGUCGCCCAUGAUGGUCUACAGUCUUGGGUAUGAGUCAGUGACGAUGCUUGUUUGUUUUGAUGCUUGUGUUUGAACUUGCUUAAGCAACCGACCUGACGAAGUACACAUGAAUGUCGCCCAUGAUGGUCUACAGUCUUGGGUAUGAGUCAGUGACGAUGCUUGUUUGUUUUGAUGCUUGCGUUGGAACUUGCUUAAGCAACCGAUCUGACGAAGUACCCAUGAAUGUCGCCCAUGAUGGUCUACAGUCUUGCGUAUGAGUCAGUGACGUCGCUUGUUUGUUUUGAUGCUUGCGUUGGAACUUGCUUAAGCAACCGACCUGACGAAGUACCCAUGAAUGUAGGGGGUGAUGUUUAGAGCUGGAAGGCAAGGGGGUGCAAACACCAGUCGGCCUUUGUCCCGAUUGCUGAGUGUUAUGUGCUUGAUGUCCAAGGCUUGAAGCUGACCCUCCAAGUGGGGCUUGUCCCUGCACCAAUGGCUUUUGCCAGGAUCAUGGCGUUUGUUAUGAUCGAAAAACUGAGGGGGUGAUGUUUAGAGCUGGAAGGCAAGGGGGUGCAAACACCAGUCGGCCUUUGUCCCGAUUGCUGAGUGUUUUGUGCUUGAUGUCCAAGGCUUGAAGCUGACCCUCCAAGUGGGGGCUUUUUUGUUCCUGCGGUAACGACUCUGUUGGGAUCAUUGUGAUCAAGUUUGGUUGGUUUCGUAUUGUGGUGGGUUUUUUCGAAGCUUCUAUCGUUCUUUUACGCAUCGUGCGGUGCAUCUUGGGGGCUGUUUUGGCUUUUGGUUGCUUGCUUGGGCUUUAUGCUAGGCGGGUGGCUAAU
RNAcentral lists this unclassified non-coding RNA (1254 nucleotides) under Espeletia boyacensis. RNAcentral's name for it is "partial external transcribed spacer". The record is from RNAcentral. Lineage: Eukaryota; Viridiplantae; Streptophyta; Magnoliopsida; Asterales; Asteraceae.